GCCCGGCUAGCUCAGUCGGUAGAGCGUGUGACUCUUAUUCUUUCUGGGAUAAAUCUCAAAGUCGUGGGUUCGAGCCCCACGUCGGGCU
RNAcentral lists this transfer RNA (88 nucleotides) under Heterodermia speciosa. It matches the Rfam family "tRNA". From Rfam's summary of the family: Transfer RNA (tRNA) molecules are approximately 80 nucleotides in length. Their secondary structure includes four short double-helical elements and three loops (D, anti-codon, and T loops). The record is from Rfam by way of RNAcentral. Lineage: Eukaryota; Fungi; Ascomycota; Lecanoromycetes; Caliciales; Physciaceae.